Molecule: long non-coding RNA, 993 nt
Organism: Gallus gallus (chicken)
Lineage: Eukaryota; Metazoa; Chordata; Aves; Galliformes; Phasianidae
Exons: 2
Source: RefSeq, a predicted model, not a curated record
AAACCUCCUCCUGUCCACUGCACUGUACUUUCUUAAAUGCUGCAGUUCAGUGAAUUUAAGCAAAAUAGCUCCUCUAUUAAACCACUGUGGGGAAACACUAGUCAGUGAGGGAACUGGAGUCCUGAUCUCAUUACACAUUUUUCUAUUUACCAAUCUCUAUUGCAUGCUAUUUUUGUCUUUUAUUACUGCACUACUAAUGACAAGUAUGACUCCUUUAUGACAUACAGAUAUGUCAUAAAGGACAUAUAUUUCACUGAACAGUGAAAAAAAAGGGUCUGUCUUUACAGUUUACAUCUCUGUUAAAAUUACACCAGUUUGAAAUGUGGGACCUUAGUCAGAAGUAGGUAAUUGACUUUUGACUAUAUCUGUUUGUACUGAGUAGGACUUUAAGCUUUACAGCUUACAGGUACAGGACCACACCCUACGUUUGAAACAGAAGGUAAAAAAUGAAGUGAGAGUUAUGAUGGUCUGCUUUUACCUACCAGCACUCAUUACAUAUUCUCUGAAGAAGGGACAGCCAAACCAGAUGGGCAUGAUAUGAAGAUACGGAGUAAGUCCUGGAAAUAAAUUUUUGAAACUUGGACCAGUGCAAAAGUUUCCAAAGGCUCCAGCCACCAGCACCCCAUGAGGGUGAAAGCCAAGCAAGUAGUUGUGCUUUGGAUCCAAAUCUGAAGUCUUUAUUAGCUGAAAAAGAGAGACAGUGGAGGACAUUGUAAUACUUGUAUCACAGCUAUUCUGGAACACAACAAAGCACAGAGACUGCACGUUGACAUAUUGACAUUAGUGCAUGUCAGCGGUUAUUCAAGCUGUCUUUUAAAAUGUUUACAGUUCGGUGAGAAACCUUUUACCCACCUGAAUGGGGAAGUAUUCCCUGAAGUAAUUCCAAACAGUCCAGUUCCUGACCCACUGCGACCGCCUGCCCCCAGCGCGUGGCGUCUCCCAGUCAACGUACAGCCACACCAGGUACAGGACACCGAGGAACCAGAAGUUGCC